AGUCCGAGCAUUAAUUUUAUUUCUUUAUUACAGUUAUACGAGAGUAACUCGCUUUGCGAGGAACAGAUAUUUAUAAUUGAGAGAUAAAAUUAGUGCUCGGUAAAGAUUUAUCGCUCUUGGAACGGCCUGCGGAGUAUCAGCUUGUUGGUAGUGUAAUGGACUACCAAGGCUAUGACGCUUAGGGGAGGUGAGAGCCUGACCCCCACCGAUGGAACUGAGACACGGUCCAU
This 230-nucleotide ribosomal RNA is filed under the name uncultured bacterium. RNAcentral describes it as "partial 16S ribosomal RNA". It matches the Rfam family "Bacterial small subunit ribosomal RNA", at positions 127 to 334 of the family's 1533-position model. The record is from RNAcentral.